UUUUUUUUUUUUUAAAGUUUCAAGCAUUACUCUAAGCGUAUUAAAAUGAUGUAUACUAAGUCAUCAACUUUUUGAGUCAAAUUUUAUGGUUCUAACUCUUAUUUUUAUUUAAUAUUUAUCAACUUAUUACUUAUAUCAUUAUGUUAACAAUACAUAUAAUAAUCGUCUCACUUAAAGUAUGUUUUUCAAUGUUGAGUUGAUAAAAUCUUAUCUAAAACUAGUAACUGAAAAAACAAUAUUAAGUACUAAUAAUUUUCAUCUAAAUAGUGUUAAUUUUUUAUUUAUUUUUAAUAAAUAUGUAUAUGAAGUGUAUUUAUAUUUUAGGCCGCGAAUUGAAAUUUCGCUUUAGGCCCCCAAUUACGUUGAGCCGCCCCUGCCCACUCCAUUUUAUCUAUUACUCAUCGGAUCAACGGAGAGAAAUCCCGAGUAGCACGGAGUGUGUAGUAAACUAAGAUCACUUGUGAAAAACAAUGACUUUGACCAUCAAUUACUACAAAUUUGAUAAGGAUUAUCAAUUUGUCACAACUCUUCCCUAAUUUCAUACGAUUAAUAAUCAUGACGAUUGCACGCUCAUCUCCAUUAUUGUCACAGUUGGCAAUAUUACUAGGAAACAAAAAAAUUAUUGGAGGUUCUUUAUUAGCACCAUUAUCGGAAGGAUUACACAAGUAACACAAUUAUUCAACUAAUAAAAUACAAUUCUAAAUCUAAUUAGUAACGUUUGAAAUAAUAAUAACAACAACAAAAAAGUAUUAAAGAAAAGUCAUCAUUAAAAAGAUACCCAAAAAAAAACAAAAUGUUGCAAAAAGAAUGCAAUCCAAGAAUAUGAAUUACAAUGAGUCCAUAAAAAUUAAGCUAAAAUUAAAACGUAAACUCUCAUUUUCCCAUCCUAAUUAAAAAUGUCUACUUCUUUUCAACAAGUUUCUCAAUCAGGUCAGCUGCAUCUUGAACUGUUACAAUAUUCUCAGAGUUCUCUUCUUCUACUGCAAUCCCAAACUCUUCUUCUAGGGCCAUCACAAUUUCCACCUGUUCGCGCGUUACAAACACUUAAUAGGUUCAAUCUUGUACAGUAUAUAUAAGGUUAAUUUUUUAAUAUACGUAUAGUAACUAGAUGUUGAAUUGUUUUUCACGAAAAUCCUAAAUCCGACACAGAAAGUACUCACAGUGUCAAGAGAGUCGGCUCCGAGGUCCUUAGUGAAAGUACUUUCAGGGCUGACCUUAGUUUCUGCUGGUAAAGCCAGUUGUUUCCUCACUAUGCUUAUUACCUUAUCAAUUGUCUCUGCCUUUGCCUGCUCAUCAUGCAGAAUGGAUCAAUCAAUAAAAAGAGUGAAACUAAUACUGUACUAAUUCUGUUUCAAUUUGUUUGUCUGAUAAUGACUUGACAUAUAUAUAGCGUUUAAGAAAGUAAAAAGACUACUGAUUCUUGCGAUUCUGUUGAAUGUACUAUUUUGCUCUGUUUGAACCCGGAUAUAAGUGUAAGUGUGAAUUAAAAUCAAAUGUGGUUGUAGCAUAGCAGAGUGGAGCAGCCGCGAUAUAAAGAAUACUUCUAGGCAUUUGUAUUAAAACAUGUUAGCCUACAUAUGCCUAUUGUCGAUUGGGAACAAAUAUUUGGCCAACUUUGCAUCGAUUUAUGUUUUAAUACAAAUUAAUGGAGUGAUAGUUCAUGUAGAUAACAGAACAAUGGGUAGUUAAGGUAUGAAACUCAUGAAAAAAGUAGUAAUAGUUUAGGUAUGUUUUCGACUAUUAUACAAAUGUUAACUAAAUAUAUGUGCAACAAAAAAGAAAUGGAGAAGAAGAAUUUACAGCUGCAACACGAAAGCGGGAUGUUCUGAGAGAAGGGAAACCAGCACUACUCCUUCCCCAACCCACUGAAACCAACUUCACAGUACCUCUGUUUAUCUGCACACAUUUUGCCCAAAAUUAGAAGUUUGAACGAACAGUCAAAACUCUCUAUAACAAAGUCAUUUACCGCGAUAGUAGAAAUUUUGUUCCAAUGAAAAUUUAGUCGUUACAGUGAAAUAUUGUUAUAGAAAUUUGAAAUAGUAGUAAUGUUGACCUGAGAUGUGUUGACCUGAUUGGCAGAAAAACAAAAUCUGAGAGAUGUAGCUGAAAGACUAGCCAUAUUAUGAAGAAUGAGAAAUGCAGAGAGAAGAAAUGGAGUUUGUUUGAAGAUUUAAAGAUGAGUGCAAUAUUUGAAGUCACAGUAAUAAUAUUAUACAAAGAAGAAUGAGUGGUGAAUAUUUAGUUUGCAAAUCCUAUCCAAAUUACUGUGUAUGUUGCUUUCUUGUGUGACAUAGCGGGGAUGCUUUGCUAGCUAAUGUUUUGUCUCCGUUCUCCCUUUCUCAACUUGACCACGUGCAAGUAGUCGUAUAUAUUUGAUCGAACUCAAUAAUUUUGACAAACAAAUCUUAUUGCAUUGGUUCAUUAUAUUGCUUUUUUUAUUUUUUUAAAUAUGUAUAAAUGACUUAGUAUUCAGUAAUUUAAAGUUAGACAAUGAUCUCUUUUGCUUAAAAUGAUAAUUAUAUAUGAAAUGUUAGACAAUGGUCUAAAAUUUCAUAAGUUAUUCAAAUGUUUACUGACAAUCUCUUAUUUCGUAUGUAAGAUAGAGAAAUAUAUGAGAAAAUAUUAGAUUUGAAUCUAAUAUUAUCUUGAAAGAUAAUGUCUUCAGAAUGAGAUAUUACUUUUGAUGGGCAUUGGGCUCUCAAAGCAAAUUGGGCCUCGAAUACCUACCAACAUUUUUCAAUUGGGUCAUAUGCUCAAAUGCAACUUCUAAUCCCUAUUUCAUUUGUAUUUUUUUUUUCAUAUAUAAUGUGAUCCUAGAUUUUUCCAUUAUAACUUUUGAUACAUAUUUUUUUUACUAAAUACAUAUUUAGCCCUUUGAUCUUGUUAAUUUUUUUCAUUUAAACACCUCAAGCGUAAUCUAUCAAACACCUUAUAUCAAUUGAAAACAUGUUAAUUCAAUAGAAAUUAAUAAGACAUGACGUGUGUAUCGUACCUCUUUGAAAAGUGUGAAAAAUCUAGAUUAAAAACCUAUUUCUUAAAAAAAAUCAUCUCCCUUAUCUACACCUUGUUGCUACAACUUCGUUAUCAUAUCCACUAUCACCAUCAUAUUUCAACCAAGAAGAAAGUCAUUGACCAGUCAUAGAAACCAUUACACAACUCCAUCGUGAUCAAUUUCAAGACGUUACAUUCAAAAGUCAUUGAAUUUUACACCGUGUUCAUGAGUCAAAACUUCUGUACAUAUGAGAAAACACUAUAACUUAUGUCAUUUAAAAACAUACAAAUUAAACACAAACGAUUGACAAUAUAUGACGCGUGUAUUAUACCUUUUUUUCUAUUAUAUCUUUUUUAAAAGCAUGAACAACUUUUUUUUUCUCCAUACCUUCAUUUACUGUUUGCCGCCGCUACUCCAUCGCCAUAGCUAUUACUGCCACCAUAUUUCGACCAAGAAGAAAUCUAUUGACCAAUCAUAAAAACCACCACACAACUGUAGUAUUAUCAAAUUCAAGAUGUUAUAAAAGACCCAGAAGAUACUAAAGCUUACAACAUGUUCACGAGUCAAAGAUUCUGUGCAUUUGAGAAAACACUAUAACUAAUUAUGUCAGUUAAAAAUGUAUCAAAAUUAAACACAAACGACAAACAAGACAUGACGCGUGUAUUAUAACUCUUUUACUCGCGCGAAAUACCCAUUUUUUCUCUCCAUCUCCUUCAUCUACUAUUUGCCGCCACCACUCCAUCACCAUAUCCAACUACCACGAAGAAAGUCAUCAACCAAUUACAGAAAUCAUCACACAACUCCAUCUUCAUCAAAUUCAAAUUGUAAAAAAACUCAAAAACCAUUGAAAUUUACAAUCGUGUUCAUAAAUCAAAAAAUUCUCUACAUUCUUAGAAACAACAUUAUAACUUGUGUAGUCUCAACUUCUUCAUCUUCUUCCUCUUUUUUUUCCUCUUAAUUUUGUGUUAUUAAAUAUUGAAAUAAUGAACAAAUAAUUUUGUUAGAAAUCUAUAGAAUAUUUCACAAAAUAAUAUACUUAUACUAUACAAUAAAAAGGAAAUUGGGACCGACCUACCAAUAAAAUAAUCAAGCAUCCUGUCCAAGUAAAUAUGUCAGCUGUCCAAUUCGCUUGUUCACCAAGGCGAAUUUUUAGCCCUAUUUAUACAUUUCAUUACCCCUCUUUUCUUCAUCCUUCAUCAUCUUCUCCAGAGAUAAUUCAGUAGCCGACUCCGGAGAAUCGCAAACAUCAAAACUCCUCUGUUUCUGGAUUUUGUGUUCGGGCUGUUGAUCUUGUUUUAUCGAAUCAGGUAUUUAACAUUUUCUUUUGAUAUUUAGGGUUUGAAAUUGAAUUCCUUUUUUUCAAUUUUCUGAAUUUUUUCCCUUUUUUUUCUGUAUAGAAAUCUGUCGGUGGAUAGGUCAAUAAGAAAUUCAAGUCAGAAUAUGAGCUUUCCUGCACAAAACAAUAGAAGGAAUAACAACAGUAAUCGACCUAGAAACAUUAAUAAUAAUCCUGUUGUUCAAAGUGGUGGUGCUCGUCGUGAGUGGGUAGCUAGGGGAUCCACUCCAACCAACACUGUUCCAUUUUCAACUGCCCCUGUUACCCCGGUAUCAACAACCACUGUUGUGACCCCUGGGUUUGGUGGGAAUGGAAGAGACAAUGAUAAUGUGCCAGUUGUGCCGGUUAAUCGAUUUCAAAAUCAAAAUCAGACCUAUGUGGAACCCAAAUUCAAUAGGGGGACAUAUGGGAAUCAGAGGGAAAGGGGCAGGGGGAGCUAUAAUCAUCAGGAGAACAGGAUGGAGAGGCCGGUCAGGGAGGUCAGUGGGAGGAUUAAUCAAGAGCAGGUGAAGGAUCCUAAUUUGCCUCAACUUGUGCAAGAAAUAGAGGAGAAGCUGUUGAAGGGUAACAUUGAGUGCAUGAUAUGCUAUGAUAUGGUGAGGAGGUCUGCGCCCAUGUGGUCAUGUUCGAGCUGCUACUCGAUUUUCCAUCUUCAUUGUACCAAGAAAUGGGCAAGAGCUCCCACUUCUGUUGACACAUCUGCAGAGAAGAAUCAAAGGUUUAAUUGGCGUUGCCCAGGUUGUCAAUCAGUCCAGCUCACUUCAUCCAGGGACAUACGGUAUCUUUGCUUUUGUGGGAAGAGGCAAGACCCCCCUUCAGAUUUAUACUUGACUCCACAUUCAUGUGGAGAGCCUUGUGGCAAGAAACUUGAGAAGGAGCUUCCAGGGAAUGGUCUGAGUGAAGAGGAUCUUUGCCCUCAUGUUUGUGUCCUACAAUGCCAUCCUGGUCCUUGUCCACCUUGUAAGGCAUUUGCUCCAGCUAGAAGUUGCCCCUGCGGGAAGGAAGUAAUUACCACUCGCUGCUCUGAUCGGAAGUCCGUUCUUACAUGUGGACAGCAGUGUGGUAAGCUUCUUGACUGUGGGCGUCAUAGGUGUGAACAAACUUGCCAUGUUGGUCCUUGUGGCCAUUGUCAAAUUGUUGUGGAUGCCUAUUGCUUUUGUAAGAAGAAAACAGAGUCUGUUCUUUGUGGAGAUAUGGGUGUGAAAGGAUCUAUCAAGAUGGAGGAUGGCGUCUUUUCAUGCAAUUCAGUUUGUGGAAAGAAGCUUAGUUGUGGAAACCACAUCUGCCGUGAGCUCUGCCAUCCAGGGCCAUGUGGGGACUGUGCUUUGUUGCCUAGCAAGGUCAAGGCAUGCUGUUGCGGUAAAACCAGCUUGGAAGAAGAAAGGCACAGUUGUUUGGAUCCAAUUCCAACCUGUUCCAAGGUCUGCGGAAAGCGCCUCCGUUGUGGGGUACAUCGCUGUGAAGCUGUGUGCCAUUCUGGUGACUGUGCACCAUGUCUUGUUCCUGUGAAUCAACGCUGCCGCUGUGGGUCAACUUCUCGAACAGUAGAGUGUUACAGAACGCAGGCAGAAGAUGAGCAGUUCACUUGUGAUAGACCUUGUGGGCAAAAGAAGAACUGUGGAAGGCAUCGAUGUAGUGAGCGAUGUUGCCCUCUUUCUAAUCCAAAAAACUCCAUCACGGGUGGUUGGAAUCCUCAUUUUUGUUCAAUGCCGUGUGAGAAGAAGCUUAGAUGUGGGCAGCAUUCUUGUGAGUCACUUUGUCACAGUGGUCACUGCCCUCCCUGCCUUGAGACAAUUUUCACCGAUUUGACUUGUGCUUGUGGGAGAACAUCAAUCCCUCCUCCGCUACCUUGUGGCACACCUCUUCCUUCGUGUCAGUUACCAUGCUCGGUUUCUCAGCCUUGUGGCCACCCACCUACUCACAGCUGCCAUUUUGGGGACUGCCUGCCAUGUGCUGUUCCUGUAGCAAAAGAGUGCGUUGGUGGACAUGUAAUUUUGAGAAAUAUACCUUGCGGAUCAAAGGACAUCAGGUGUAACAAGCUUUGUGGGAAGACCAGGCAGUGUGGCUUGCACGCAUGUGCUAGAACUUGUCAUCCUUCACCAUGUGAUGUUUCUGCCGGACCCAGCAACGGCUCCAGAGACUCUUGUGGGCAGACGUGUGGUGCUCCUAGAAGAGAUUGCAGGCACUCAUGUACUGCUCUUUGUCACCCCUCUUCUUCAUGUCCUGAUGUUAGAUGUGAGUUUCCUGUUACUAUUACUUGUUCUUGUGGCCGGAUCACAGCAAAUGUUCCUUGUGAUGCUGGAGGUCAGAUCGUUGACUCUGUUUUCGAAGCUUCUAUAAUCCACAAGCUGCCUUCAUCUCUUCAACCUAUUGAAUUAAAUGGGAAGAAGGUUCCUCUUGGUCAGAGGAAACUUACUUGUGAUGAUGAGUGUGCAAAGAUGGAGAAAAAAAAGGUUCUUUCCGAUGCUUUUGGUAUAACUCCCCCUAAUUUGGAGGCCCUCCAUUUUGGUGAGAAUGCAGCUGUCUCUGAAGUGCUGGGGGAGCUUCUUAGGCGGGAUGCUAAGUGGGUGUUGUCUAUAGAGGAAAGGUGCAAGUUUUUGGUUCUUGGCAGGAGCAGAGGGGGGGUGAACGCGCUCAAAGUUCAUGUGUUUUGCCCAAUGUCGAAAGAAAAGCGGGAUGCAAUUAGACUGAUAGCUGCAAGGUGGAAGCUUUCAGUAAAUGCAGCUGGUUGGGAACCCAAGAGAUUCAUCGCUGUACAUGUUACACCCAAGUCCAAAGCUCCAACGCGUAUACUUGGUCCCAAAGGUUGUACUGUCAAUAACAUUGCUCAGCCUGCUGUUUUUGAUUCUCUGGUGGAUAUGGAUCCAAGGCUUGUUGUGGCUUUGUUUGACUUGCCAAGAGAUGCAGACAUUAGUGCGUUAGUUCUCAGGUUUGGUGGUGAGUGUGAGCUUGUCUGGUUGAAUGACAAGAAUGCCUUGGCUGUGUUCAAUGAUCCUGCCCGAGCAGCAACAGCUAUGAGAAGGCUAGACCAGGGGUCGGCCUAUUGUGGUGCUGCUGUAGUUCAUCAGAGUGGUGUUGCAUCAGCAGUGGCAUCCGCUACUAAUGUUUGGGGAGUCUCUGGAGGAGCGAAGGACGGGGGAGGAGUUGCAGCUCUUAAGGGUAAUCCAUGGAAGAAGGCUGUAGUCCAGGAGCCUCAUUUGAGGGAGAGUCUAUGGGAUGCCGAUGAAUGGUCCAAGAAUCCCACUGAUUUAGCAGCCCCUUCUGCCUGGAGGGCGAAUGAAGCUCCACCUACUGCCUCGUCUAAUAGGUGGAGUGUCUUAGAGCCUGAAAUUACUUCCAGCUUGCCCAGGGUGUCUAUUACGAUCCAGAAACCUGUUACUGAGACAGAAGUGGGGGGUUCAGUUUUACCCCCCAAACCUCAAGAUGUGGGGAUUGACGAUAUGGCAGAUGUAGUGGACGAUUGGGACAAGGCUUACGAUUGAGAGCUCCUGGAAAUGCAUAUUGUUUUCGCUGGCCAAUUAUUUCUUCCAUUUUUCUUUUUAGUGCUCAGACAGGAGUUGGUUUAGUUAUGUUUAGUAGCUCCUGUUUUAAAGGGAGAGUGAUGUUUCCUUUAUGGUUCAAAAACACUACUCCUUUAGCCUUGGUGCCAAUAUCCCCAAUGAAGGGAGAAACAUAUUAGUAGUUGUUGGUGUAAUGUACCAUUUGGUCAGUGUUCUAGGAUGCUGCUUGAUACCAUUAGUAAAAUCCAGACUUGUUAAUCUUCCAUUCAUAUGAAUUGUGUGUGAUGGGAUGAGCUUUUUUCUUCACCUGAGAUGCUGCUUUGUUUUAUAUUAAAACAGAAGGGAUGUAAGAAGCCUUCGUGUUGGUGUCAUGUUAUGUGUCCAUUUAGAUAUUUCUGAAGUCCAACUUCUGUGCUCUAUGAAAUAAUGGAGAUAACUGAUAGGCAAGGAUUUAUGUCUCUGUCAAUAAAGGGGUGUGCAUUUGGUGUUUUACGUUGUUCUAAAAAUUUUGGUUUGGCUCAAGUUUUCAAUGUAUUAUUCAGUUAUUCGGUUGUCAUAUAAGAAAAUAAUAUAAUCGAAUUGUUAUAUUUCAAAGACGUAAAAAAGAAUAAUUAUUAUAAAGAACGAGAUGAGCAAUUCUGGACCUUUUAAAUUAUCUAGGAUUAGAUUUGAAACUUUUAGGCCAUUUUUGUCCCUUUUCUGUAUAGAGAAUAAGCUUUUAUAUCAAUUGGGCUAAAAAAGAGAUUGUAGUGAUACCAACAACAAAAUCGACAUAUUCGGUGAAAUUCCACAAUGCAGUGGAAAUGGAAGUGAGUGCUUUGCAAAAAUGAUACCAGAGAGAGAGGUGUAGAAAAGAAUGCAAGUAUAUUCUGCAUCUGCAAUUACAUAUGUACACAAUACAUGAACUGUGAUCUGUCAGUUCCUGACUUUCCUCAACAAAUACAGGGGGGUGAAAAGAAAAAAAACCCCAACUAUAGAAUCUAUACAUCAAACAUAACAGUGAUACCAACUGCUACUCGAUCUGUGGGGUAACUGGAAAAAAAAGAAGAAAAAUUGCGUGAACUUUUAUCAUUCAACAGGUUGAUACAUUGCGAAAGGAACAUGCAUGACCAGAGGUAAACUAUGUCACUUCUGCAAAUCAUCUUUGCUUGGCUUUGAAGAAUAGUUCUUUCAACAAACCAUCAUAGAAGGUUGCUCCAACUGCUUAUUGUUUUGGGACUUCUGCAGGUUUCAGACCUUUAAAGAUCUUUACUAAACCUCCUCUUAGCCGCAUGUCAAUAAUCAUGUAAGAUACACUAGUAGCUUGUCACAUAAACGUUAUGCGCGUGUAUGAUAACCUAUAACCUAAGAAAAACAGCAAAAUGUGGUUUAAACGCAAGUUGCAA
RNAcentral lists this long non-coding RNA (9213 nucleotides) under Solanum tuberosum (potato). Its description in RNAcentral is "long non-coding RNA (STUB_LNC004198)". Lineage: Eukaryota; Viridiplantae; Streptophyta; Magnoliopsida; Solanales; Solanaceae. The record is from RNAcentral.